Molecule: ribosomal RNA, 484 nt
Filed under: uncultured bacterium
Lineage: Bacteria
Description: partial 16S ribosomal RNA
Rfam family: Bacterial small subunit ribosomal RNA
Source: RNAcentral
AUUGAACGCUGGCGGCAGGCCUAACACAUGCAAGUCGAGCGGAUGAAGGGAGCUUGCUCCUGGAUUCAGCGGCGGACGGGUGAGUAAUGCCUAGGAAUCUGCCUGGUAGUGGGGGAUAACGUCCGGAAACGGGCGCUAAUACCGCCUACGUCCUGCGGGAGAAAGUGGGGGAUCUUCGGACCUCACGCUAUCAGAUGAGCCUAGGUCGGAUUAGCUAGUUGGUGGGGUAAAGGCCUACUAAGGCGACGAUCCGUAACUGGUCUGAGAGGAUGAUCAGUCACACUGGAACUGAGACACGGUCCAGACUCCUACGGGAGGCAGCAGUGGGGAAUAUUGGACAAUGGGCGAAAGCCUGAUCCAGCCAGGCCGCGUGUGUGAAGAAGGUCUUCGGAUUGUAAAGCACUUUAAGUUGGGAGGAAGGGCAGUAAGUUAAUACCUUGCUGUUUUGACGUUACCAACAGAAUAAGCACCGGCUAACUUCGUG